CUACGGGCUGCACCAGUGGGGAAUAUUGCACAAUGGGCGCAAGCCUGAUGCAGCCAUGCCGCGUGUAUGAAGAAGGCCUUCGGGUUGUAAAGUACUUUCAGCGGGGAGGAAGGGAGUAAAGUUAAUACCUUUGCUCAUUGACGUUACCCGCAGAAGAAGCACCGGCUAACUCCGUACCAGCAGCCGCGGUAAUACGGAGGGUGCAAGCGUUAAUCGGAAUUACUGGGCGUAAAGCGCACGCAGGCGGUUUGUUAAGUCAGAUGUGAAAUCCCCGGGCUCAACCCGGGAACUGCAUCUGAUACUGGCAAGCUUGAGUGUGGUAGAGGGGGGUAGAAUUCCAGGUGUAGCGGUGAAAUGCGUAGAGAUCUGGAGGAAUACCGGUGGCGAAGGCGGCCCCCUGGACGAAGACUGACGCUCAGGUGCGAAAGCGUGGGGAGCAAACAGGAUUAGAUACCCCGGUAGUC
This 464-nucleotide ribosomal RNA is filed under the name uncultured bacterium. Its description in RNAcentral is "partial 16S ribosomal RNA". It matches the Rfam family "Bacterial small subunit ribosomal RNA", at positions 339 to 795 of the family's 1533-position model. The record is from RNAcentral.